GCCGAAGAGCGGCUGCAGGGAGAGGUUGAGCAGCUGCAGAAGGAACUGGAGGGUCUGACGGGUCAGCUGCGGGCCCAGGUGCAGGACAAUGAGAGCCUGAGCCACCUGAACCGGGAGCAGGAGGGACGGCUGCUGGAGCUGGAGCGCGAGGCCCAGCACUGGAGCGAGCAGGCAGAGGAGCGCAAGCAGAUCCUGGAGAGCAUGCAGAGUGACCGCACCACCAUCAGCAGAGCGCUGUCACAGAAUCGCGAGCUCAAGGAGCAGCUGGCUGAGCUGCAGAACGGCUUCGUCAGGCUGACAAAUGAGAACAUGGAGAUUACCAGUGCGUUACAAUCAGAGCAGCAUGUCAAGAAAGAGCUGGCCAGGAAGCUGGGAGAGCUUCAGGAGAGGCUGGGAGAGCUGAAGGAGACGGUGGAGCUGAAGAGCCAAGAAGCACAGGGUCUGCAGGAGCAGCGAGACCAGUGCCUGUCCCACCUGCAGCAGUACGCUGCCGCCUACCAACAGCACUUGACAGCCUAUGAGCAGCUGACCUCUGAGAAGGAGGCACUGCACAAGCAGCUUCUGCUGCAGACACAGCUCAUGGACCAGUUGCAGCAUGAGGAAGUUCAGGGCAAGAUGGCAGCCGAGAUGGCCCGCCAGGAGCUGCAGGAGGCACAGGAGCGCCUAAAAGCUAGCAGCCAGGAGAACCAACAGCUCCAAGCCCAGCUGAGCCUCUUGGUCCUCCCUGGGGAAGAUAUGGACCAGGAGGAGCAAGACGAGGAGGUUCCUCAGCCCAGUCUGACCAUCCCAGAAGACCUUGUCAGUAG
Molecule: long non-coding RNA, 806 nt
Filed under: Rattus norvegicus (Norway rat)
Lineage: Eukaryota; Metazoa; Chordata; Mammalia; Rodentia; Muridae
Description: long non-coding RNA NONRATT018041
Source: RNAcentral